RNAcentral lists this ribosomal RNA (253 nucleotides) under uncultured bacterium. RNAcentral describes it as "partial 16S ribosomal RNA". It matches the Rfam family "Bacterial small subunit ribosomal RNA", at positions 524 to 776 of the family's 1533-position model. The record is from RNAcentral.
UACGGAGGGAGCUAGCGUUGUUCGGAAUUACUGGGCGUAAAGCGCACGUAGGCGGCUUUGUAAGUAAGAGGUGAAAGCCCAGAGCUCAACUCUGGAAUAGCCUUUCAAACUGCAUCGCUUGAAUCCAGGAGAGGUGAGUGGAAUUCCGAGUGUAGAGGUGAAAUUCGUAGAUAUUCGGAAGAACACCAGUGGCGAAGGCGGCUCACUGGACUGGUAUUGACGCUGAGGUGCGAAAGCGUGGGGAGCAAACAGG